AAACCAACCGGGAUUGCCUUAGUAACGGCGAGCGAAGCGGCAAGAGCUCAAAUUUGAAAUCCCCUUGGGGAGUUGUAAUUUGUAGGUCGUGACCUGAGCAAGCAACACAAGUCUCCUGGAACGGAGUGCCUUAGAGGGUGAGAGCCCCGUAAGUUGUAGCUCAUUGUAGGUUGCUUCCAAA
This 181-nucleotide ribosomal RNA is filed under the name uncultured Ascomycota. RNAcentral's name for it is "partial 26S ribosomal RNA". It matches the Rfam family "Eukaryotic large subunit ribosomal RNA", at positions 62 to 261 of the family's 3401-position model. The record is from RNAcentral. Lineage: Eukaryota; Fungi; Ascomycota.